AUUGAACGCUGGCGGCAGGCCUAACACAUGCAAGUCGAGCGGUAGAGAGGUGCUUGCAUCUCUUGAGAGCGGCGGACGGGUGAGUAAUGCCUAGGAAUCUGCCUAGUGUGGGGGAUAACGUUCGGAAACGGACGCUAAUACCGCAUACGUCCUACGGGAGAAAGCGGGGGAUCUUCGGACCUCGCGCCCAUUAGAUGAGCCUAGGUCGGAUUAGCUAGUUGGUGAGGUAAUGGCUCACCAAGGCGACGAUCCGUAACUGGUCUGAGAGGAUGAUCAGUCACACUGGAACUGAGACACGGUCCAGACUCCUACGGGAGGCAGCAGUGGGGAAUAUUGGACAAUGGGCGAAAGCCUGAUCCAGCCAUGCCGCGUGUGUGAA
Molecule: ribosomal RNA, 379 nt
Filed under: uncultured bacterium
Lineage: Bacteria
Description: bacterial SSU rRNA
Rfam family: Bacterial small subunit ribosomal RNA
Source: RNAcentral